AAGAUAACAAUCCCUUCUACAAGAGGGGGCGAGCAAAACCAACUGAACUGAUAAAACAACCAAUCAACUGAGCAGAAGACUGACUCCACCCCCAAGGACCCAGCAUAGACCCAAACACAGGCACACACAUACAGAGGCAGCAUUUCACAUCCAAGAACUACAUACACAGAGACAACAUAGACCUGGGCAAUUGUGAAUCUGUGUGUUGCGUUAACAACUCCCAUAGAUCUAUCAAAACUGUGAGAAGAGAAUAGCUAUUAAUUAAUGGGAGAUAUUACCAUAACGGAGACAUUGUAAGAGUCUUCAUAGAGCUGUCAAAACAUUAGACUGCGCCUUGGAUACAGGCUCAUGUCAUGAGGUCAAAGGUCUAAAGCCACAAGCCAGAGGAUUUGUCAUAAUUUAACAGGUCACUUGUUGCUAUACACUGCGCAGCUGAACAGUUCCAUAGAGCCUCCGUAAACGGUAUUCAGAAAUUCCCUUAGACCAUAUUGGGAUACUUAAGGGUGAACAUGCAGCAUUAACUGGGCAGUUGGGAAGGUAUGCUCCAUCUCUGGCACAAGCAACACAACAGUAUCGAACGGUGAGUGUUCUGUGCAGGGUCGGCAGUUAUCUUCACUCCACGGAGACUUCCACCACUCCCACAUAUUUCAAGCUGCAAUAAAUUUGAUUUCUUAUGUGAUGUAUAUUUAUGUGCCUCUUGAGGAAUCUAGAUUUAUAAUAAAAUGCUAGAGACCUGUGA
Long non-coding RNA from Hemicordylus capensis (graceful crag lizard), 739 nucleotides. RefSeq lists it as uncharacterized. NCBI's taxonomy places the organism in Eukaryota, Metazoa, Chordata, Lepidosauria, Squamata, Cordylidae. The transcript is spliced from 5 exons. The record is from RefSeq and is a predicted model, not a curated record.